AACGAACGCUGGCGGCAGGCCUAACACAUGCAAGUCGAGCGAGACCUUCGGGUCUAGCGGCGGACGGGUUAGUAACGCGUGGGAACGUGCCCUUCUCUGCGGAAUAGCCACUGGAAACGGUGAGUAAUACCGCAUACGCCCUUCGGGGGAAAGAUUUAUCGGAGAAGGAUCGGCCCGCGUUAGAUUAGAUAGUUGGUGGGGUAACGGCCUACCAAGUCUACGAUCUAUAGCUGGUUUUAGAGGAUGAUUAGCAACACUGGGACUGAGACACGGCCCAGACUCCUACGGGAGGCAGCAGUGGGGAAUCUUAGACAAUGGGCGCAAGCCUGAUCCAGCCAUGCCGCGUGAGUGAUGAAGGCCUUAGGGUCGUAAAGCUCUUUCGCCAGAGAUGAUAAUGACAGUAUCUGGUAAAGAAGUCCCGGCUAACUCCGUG
This 433-nucleotide ribosomal RNA is filed under the name uncultured bacterium. RNAcentral's name for it is "bacterial SSU rRNA". It matches the Rfam family "Bacterial small subunit ribosomal RNA", at positions 29 to 507 of the family's 1533-position model. The record is from RNAcentral.